AGUCCUUUAAUUUUUAUGAUCUCUGUUUUUCAAGGUUUGGUGGAAGUCAUCAGUUUAACAGAAAAAUUUACAUUUAAUCCUAAAGAAGGAAUCGACAACCCAGUGAUGGUCAUCACAGAAGAAGCAGAUUCAGUGUCCUCCCCCAGCCCUCGUCUGUGUGUUCUGAAACGAGAAGAGGGGGAAAUCUACGGCUUCCACCUGCGGAUAGAAGGGGGGCGCGAGGGUCACAUCAUCAGAAACGUGGUGUCAGGAGGGGUGGCAGAGCGCAGUGGACUCAGAGACGGAGACAGACUACUGGAAGUCAACAACUGUUAUGUAGAUGAUGUUCCCCAUCCUGAGGUGGCUGCAAAGAUAAGGUUGAGUGGAAACCAGUUGUGUUUAUCGGUGUUGGAUGGGGAGGAGUAUGAGCAGGCUUUGUCUCAAGGUCAAGACCUCAGAGGUUUGGCUAGAACGCACAAAGGCGAGACCUUCAAACCCCCCAGACUCUGUCACAUCAAGAGGGAUCCUGUCUCAGGUCUGGGCAUCAACUUCACACCUGUGGAAGGAGAGAAAGGUCGCUUCUCUGUGAGCCUGGUUGCAGGAGGUGCAGCAGCAAAGGCGGGGGUGUUUAAGGGAGAUCGCCUGGUGUGGAUGAACGGAGCAGCAGUGUCUGAUCUCUCACACGCUGCACUCAACAGGAUGAUGAAAAAAUGUGGCGACCGCAUCACCAUCCUAGUGAUUGACAGCGAGAGUGAAACGUGCUACCUACAGCAGAGGGUGCCCAUCCUGCCCUCCAUGGCUGUUCCACACAAUCUGCCUUAUAAAGCCAGAAAACUCCACCUGGUCUCAGGAUCCGAGGGCUACGGCUUCCUGCUCCGGCUGGAGAAGGCGGCAUCAGGACGCACAUCUCAUGUUCUGUGUGAGAUGGAUGAUGGCAGUCCAGCACAGAGAGCGGGUAUGAAGGACAGAGAGGUUCUGCUGGAGGUGAAUGGAGAGUUAGUGGAGUCACUAAAUCAUCAGGAGAUCGUAGACAGAAUGAGACUGAGCGGACAGAAGGUCUCCAUCACCACCAUCACUCCUCAGGGGCUGGAUUUUUACUCCAAGUUGGGUCUGUCCCCUCUCCUCUUCUGUGAGGAUGAUUCUGUUGAGAGAGAAACAGAGAAGAUGACACUGUCUCCUGCAGAAGAACCGUCACCACAGAAAGAAGAAAUGGAUGCCACGUGCAUGCCAAGACUCUGUACUAUCCAAAAAGGCCCUUUGGGGUUUGGCUUUAACCUUGACUGCGUCCCACAGAGUCCCGGGACCUUCAUCAGCCAGGUGGCUUAUGGGGAGUUUUGGGCAUGAUGCAGGACUACGUGUAGGUGAUGUGGUGAUGGAAGUCAACGGACAAAAUGUGGAGGACAAAUAUCUAGAAUAUGUGAUUACGCUCAUAAAGGAAGGAGGACAUUUUGUCUCCAUGAAAGUCAUGGAUAAAACUGCCUACAGCAAACCGAAGCACAUUGACGUACCGACAAAAGAUAUCACUGACAGCGAGGAGGAAGAAAAUGGUGAUAUAUCGUUUUUGUGAGCUUCAGACAAAACGCCUGCCGACAAGACUUAAAACCGAGAUGAACGAGAAACUCAUCAGAAUCAGUUUUAAAGGCCAAGUAUGUGAGCACAUACAAGGAAUAGGACUCUGGUUUUACAUGUCUCUCAUGCACAUACAAACACAUUAACAUACUACACUUAAGGGGGGGGGGGGUUCUGCUGCAUUCAUGUGCUCCUCUGAUGGUCGUAAGUCGUUCUUCUGACUUCAGUGUGUUCACGUUUCAAACUGCUGCAAAGAAGAUGUGAGGAAAGUCUCUGUUAUAAGUUAUAUUUGAGCAAAAACCUUAUGUGCAAUACGUGAACUAGUCAAAAGUAUCUUAACAUUUACAAAACAUAUUUUACACACCAUGUUGAUGAUGAUAUUGAUUUCAACUUGGGCAGUCGGGCACCUCAUUCUUUCCCUGAGUUUCCGGGUUGUUGCUCUGACUUGAGCAGCCGUUCAUGUGCACUUCACAACUCAAAAACUGUUUUUUUCCGAUGUGUCUGCCACCACUUGAAUGCAUCAUUCUCCUGAAAUCCGCUGGCAACUCCACGGGCUUAAACGGGUUCAGCUCCACAUGGUUCCGAAGCAUAAUGUCGAUUAUUAUUGUUAUGAUACUGUCACGGUGAGUGAUAAAAGAAACGUGAGGAACCAUGAGCAGAAAAGAAAACUUGUUUAUUUAACAAAAAACUCAAAAACAAAAGCUUUUUACAAGAAACAAAGUCUGUGGGAAAUGAAAUCUAAACACUGAAAUUAACAAAACAAAUCAUGACAGAUAUCGACCAUGUUACCAGGGUUUAUAAACAAGAAGCGGGAAAUAAGCUGGAUGAAACUUCAGCAGGGUCAGUUAAACAAACCACAAAUGAAUCCUGUCUGUAUGAUUCAAAACACCUCAGUGAGUUAGUUCAGUAUUUUGCAUCCAUACAUUUAGACUAACACAGUAACCUAAUGUAAGAGCUCAAUUAAAUACAACACAUGAAGACAAUUUUGGAAAUCUCUGCAAACUCAAAAGUCUUUCUAUACUGAGACUUUUAGCCUGUGGCUCUAAGGAAGUUCAAACAAUGUAAAGUUGUUUAUCUGUAUUUACAGUCUGUGGUGAAAUUAAAAAAAUAGAUGGUGAUAAAAAGAGAAUCAAUCGGUGAAGUAUUAAGUUAUAAAAAGUGUUAAUUAUAUUAUUUUGUUUGUGUUUUACACAUCAAAUGUUAUAUAUAUUUGUUCCUUUAGACUAGAGCGAGUGUUUAUUAUGAAUUUAUACGGGACAGGAAGUAUCAGAGCGUUGGAAAUAAAACUAUUUCUUCUUUCUGUCA
Non-coding RNA from Labrus bergylta (ballan wrasse), 2853 nucleotides. Lineage: Eukaryota; Metazoa; Chordata; Actinopteri; Labriformes; Labridae. The record is from RefSeq and is a predicted model, not a curated record.